CAGUAGGGAAUCUUCCACAAUGGGCGCAAGCCUGAUGGAGCAACACCGCGUGAGUGAAGAAGGGUUUCGGCUCGUAAAGCUCUGUUGUUAAAGAAGAACACGUAUGAGAGUAACUGUUCAUACGUUGACGGUAUUUAACCAGAAAGUCACGGCUAACUACGUGCCAC
Molecule: ribosomal RNA, 167 nt
Filed under: uncultured bacterium
Lineage: Bacteria
Description: partial 16S rRNA
Rfam family: Bacterial small subunit ribosomal RNA
Source: RNAcentral